AGUGAACGCUGGCGGUAGGCCUAACACAUGCAAGUCGAACGGCAGCACAGUAAGAGCUUGCUCUUACGGGUGGCGAGUGGCGGACGGGUGAGGAAUACAUCUGAAUCUACUUUUUCGUGGGGGAUAACGUAGGGAACCUUACGCUAAUACCGCAUACGACCUACGGGUGAAAGCAGGGGAUCUUCGGACCUUGCGCGAUUGAAUGAGCCGAUGUCGGAUUAGCUAGUUGGCGGGGUAAAGGCCCACCAAGGCGACGAUCCGUAGCUGGUCUGAGAGGAUGAUCAGCCACACUGGAACUGAGACACGGUCCAGACUCCUACGGGAGGCAGCAGUGGGGAAUAUUGGACAAUGGGCGCAAGCCUGAUCCAGCCAUACCGCGUGGGUGAAGAAGGCCUUCGGGUUGUAAAGCCCUUUUGUUGGGAAAGAAAAGCAGCAGGUUAAUACCCCGCUGUUCUGACGGUACCCAAAGAAUAAGCACCGGCUAACUUCGUG
Molecule: ribosomal RNA, 492 nt
Filed under: uncultured bacterium
Lineage: Bacteria
Description: partial 16S ribosomal RNA
Rfam family: Bacterial small subunit ribosomal RNA
Source: RNAcentral